CCUACGGGUGGCAGCAGUGAGGAAUAUUGGUCAAUGGCCGGAAGGCUGAACCAGCCAUGCCGCGUGAAGGUCAGUGCCCUAUGGGCGUUAAACUUCUUUUGUGCGGGAGCAAUAAUGGUCACGUGUGGCCAGACGAGAGUACCGUACGAAUAAGCGUCGGCUAACUCCGUGGCAGCAGCCGCGGUAAUACGGGGGAUGCAAGCGUUAUCCGGAUUUGUUGGGUUUAAAGGGUGCGUAGGCUGGGAGGUAAGUCAUCGGUGAAAUGCCCCCGCUCAACGGGGUGGAGUGCCAGUGAUACUGGCUUGCUGGAGUGCGUAUGACGUGGGAGGAAUGUGUGGUGUAGCGGUGAAAUGCAUAGAUAUCACACAGAACACCGAUUGCGAAGGCAUCUCACGGAUCCGCGAUUGACGCUGAUGCACGAAAGCGUGGGUAGCAAACAGGAUUAGAUACCCGGGUAGUC
RNAcentral lists this ribosomal RNA (460 nucleotides) under uncultured bacterium. RNAcentral describes it as "partial 16S ribosomal RNA". It matches the Rfam family "Bacterial small subunit ribosomal RNA", at positions 338 to 795 of the family's 1533-position model. The record is from RNAcentral.